AUACAUUUGCCAUUGUGCGUUGGUACUAUCCCAUACAAACUUCUUAGGCUGUUCAUCGUAUAUGUAAAGUUUGGCAAAAUCAGGUCUAAACUUAUCAACCAUUGGAGUAGUUUUUUUUUUUUUUUGGUCUCAUUUGGUAAAUGAAAAAAUCACAUUUAUAGAAGAGAUGCACCAUAAACGGUUCAGGGCACUAUUUUGUUUGGGCCAGUCCGAUUAAUACUCUCUUUGUAGAGAUGCCUAUUUAUUAAAAGAAAUUUUUUAAAAAAUCACAAUGUGUUUUACAUACGG
Molecule: long non-coding RNA, 288 nt
Filed under: Capsella rubella
Lineage: Eukaryota; Viridiplantae; Streptophyta; Magnoliopsida; Brassicales; Brassicaceae
Description: long non-coding RNA (CRUB_LNC004009)
Source: RNAcentral